GCGGAAGUCCCGCCCCUCCCCGGGGAGGGAGGCCCGCGUGGCUUUCACCGCGCACGCGGAGCUGCUGCCGCCCAUCGAUUUUUUUUUUUCCCAGAAGCCGUUAUUUUCCAGGACACUUGGAGUCUUCAGAGAAAGAAUUGCCUCAGAAUUCACCUGCUUGUCCGACAGCGGUCCUCCCCUUCCAGGGCGGGAGGGCGCCCACCCCUUGCAGGGGCUCCUUCUGCCGCACCUCCGCCUGGCUCGGCCCUGUCGACUCACUCCUCUGAGGCCGCGUCUCCAAGACCGGCGUCCGAAGCCCUCGCGGGCCGGCCCCUCUCUGUGCGGCCGCAUGGGCCCCUCCGCCUCCCACCAGAGCCUGGGCGGGGUCCUGGCUUCUCCGUCGCCUUCCCGGGGCUCGUGCCGCAGGCAGGCUCGGUGGCUCUGCCGUCGAGGUCUCUCCGGGCCUCUCCAGUCGUCGUCUCCCGUCGCGGUCGUCGCCACCCGAAAGAGUGGACGGAUCUUCCCGAUGCAGUCAACCUGCGUGCAUCCCUCCAAAGUCUGCACCCUUGAGGUGCCUAAUGAAGAAGGAGGUUGUUCUUAGCAGGGGAAGGGCAGGCAUGCUUGUGAGAUGGAGCUGGGCACACCUCCCCCUCCGCCGGCGGAGAGGUCUCAGGUGAGGGCUCAGGAGGAGGUGAACGUCCCUGGGCGAGAACCUGUCCCUCCUGCCCUCACUCUGGACGUCGAAACAAGCGCCAGCACCUCCUGGAUUCCGCAGCAGCACAUCUGUGUAGAGACGGACCGCACUCUGCGAUUUCUUGGCUUUCAGACGUGACCGGUCACCUCCAGUCCCUCACCCCCUUCUGUGCCGGCCAGUGUGUGCCGGGUCCUGAGUGAGGAGGGCGGGCGUCCGUCCCCUGACCAGCUUCCGGGCCAGGCCACGCUCAUUCAGACCCACGGUGGAGCCUUUUACCCACAACCGCGACCUCAGUGCAGCCUGGGAGCUCUGGCUCAGGAACACGUAACUUUCCAAGAAAGAAGUUGGUUCCUGCCAAGAAAGAGCAUCCAGUCAUUCCCUCAGCUGCCCUCCGCGUGCUGGCACGAGGGAGCGCUCCUCGGGAGAAGCCGGCCCGCGCCAGGGCACACAGGCUUCCACGGGUUCUUGGGAUCCUGCAGAGUGCCUCCAGGGGUUUAAGCGGGCCCUUUGGAGUUUUCAGAGUCACCCUGACCUCAGAAGGCCGCUGCAGGCGGGGCCCUGUCCGAGGCCCAACGCGGGGACAGCAAGGCCACCACAGUGCACAGCGUGUUUGUUCCCACAGAGACGCGCUCGUGUUGGCUGAAUCCCCAGCAUCCACCCACCCCAAGGCAGCCUGGCCAGCGACUGGCCAGCCACAGGCAAGGGAGCUAUCCUGAGAGCAGGGCACCCCGGGCGGCGUCCCCCGGAAAAGCGCAUCUGGAAUGGAGGCCGCUGCCUUGCUCCUCACCUGAGGCUGAAGCUAACCCCUGAGGGGCUGCGAGCAAAGCCAGAGCCUGGACGUCCUGAGCCCAGAGGGCACCCACCCCUGGACUUCCUGCUGAGCCAGAAAAUGAAUUCCCUUAGCUUCCAGCCAGCUUCUGAGUCUUGCUUUUCUGCCCCUUAAAGUCAGAGCCAAGCUGCAUCCUUGGAGGUCCCCUCCCAGAUCCCACCACUCAAGGUUACUUCCAGUGGACCCACCUCACAGCUUCUGCCACCCAGGCGUGAUCUCCCUGGAGCCUGCAGAUAAGUGCCUGUGAACACUCGGCCCUCUGGGCCACAUGUAGGUUUAAUGACCACGCGCCACCGGGAGAGUCUUUUUCUUCCUUGAUAUCCUCGGAGGAUGUGGGACCUCAGUGUGGCACGAAACUGAAAUCUGCGUGGAGCGUGUCCUUGAGCCAACUUCCUGUUCUCACUGAAAGGGCAGUGGCAUCGCAUCUUCCGGAUGCUCAAGUGCCAGCUCUCCACCUGGGGAAAGACAGCACUUUACACAUGCGAGAAAGCCGGGAGGACGGGCUCUUUGAAAACCGUCACCUUGUCAUGGGGAGGGAUUUGGCACCCCCCUUCCCUCGAGAGAACAUGAGGUAAAAUGACAGAGAAGCCCACCCCAGCGUGUUUUUGACUUGGCUGAUGAGCAGGACACGUGGAGAGGGUCCCCACCCACCCUGUCCUGACCCCAGCCCUGUCUUCAAAAGGACGCCUCUCAACAGCUACUUUAACAUAGCUCAUUGUUCUCUUGAGAAUCACACGGGGAGAAACAGAGAGAAGGUGACCAAAGCAGAGUUUUUUUAAUGUGUCAAGGGUUUGUCUUUGAGCUCAAGCCAACCCUGGGGCUUCUCUUCAUAAUCUGAAAAGCUGGCUGCCCCCUCUGGUACUUCAGAAAAACUGAAGGUGGAGAAUUCUGGAUUACCCAGACUUAUCCAUUCAAGGACUACUUGAUACGAUACCAAAGCAGCCUGUAAAGUGGAGUUCAUUCAUCCAGUGGCUCUUCAGCCUACUCUGUGCUGGAAACACUGCUGGGGACACAGCCAGGGCCACUGUAGGAGCCCGGAGCUACAUCCCUCUACUGGGCAAUUCUACCGCGGUCUAAUUCACAGAUGUCUUACAAACUGCAGACUACGCCUGAGUCACAAAACAAAUAGACCAACAAGAACACACAAAGCCCCUGGAGACAAAAAGGGUGAAAUGGGGCUCAACGCAAUCAUUUACUGACUCUCCAGUACCUCGUUCCCUGACCCACGAGGCCAUGGCCCUUCUUUUUGUUCAUCAGCCCAAUUUCCUCAUGUUAAAUCUCGACGAAACGGAGCAUUGUCAUUGAAAAUCAGCACAAUUCGUAAAUUAGAAAAUGAUCUGAAAGCAUUCAAAACGCAGGAGAUAUAUCAACUUUGACAGAGUGCUUUUUUGGUUGACUUUGUGGCCACUGAACUUGCUGCUGAGCUGAAGCAUGGUUUCGUAAAGAGCUGCUUCAUUAAGAAAGAUCAGACUCGGCUCUGUCUUCUUAUGUCGUGGGUAAGAGGCAGGGCUGCACAGGGGUGAUUUGGGGUGAUGAUUUCCAGCCACAGGUUUCCACCCUGAGUGAGAGAAUGUAAAUUAACCGUCACUGCCCCCGGGGGUGCCUUUUGCAAGUGCCCUCAAAAAAUAAUAAAAGAAGAUACCCAGUCAGUUCCAUCCAUCA
This is a long non-coding RNA of Sus scrofa (pig), 3164 nucleotides long. RefSeq lists it as uncharacterized. The record is from RefSeq and is a predicted model, not a curated record. Lineage: Eukaryota; Metazoa; Chordata; Mammalia; Artiodactyla; Suidae.